ACGAGAUUGUUUCAGUUUUGCACGAGACCUCGACUAGCGCAUGGCUGUCACUCGCUGAAACUUCGCAGCGCGCCCAGAAGUUUCCGCAUCCAAUUCUGGCUUCGCCCCAUAUUUUUCAUCCUCCUCCAGUGUGGCGCAGGGAAUAUUAAAGCGUGCAAGGAAGUGUCCCAAUAAGGCCGUUGCACACGCACGCACAGAUUUGGCUCCGUUACGUUCGUCAUGUUGGCACUCAACUCCAGUCCAAGAUGGCGUGUUGUUAAUGGCCGGUUAUAAAGUUUCGUGUGUAAAAAGUAUAUUUUCUUGUGUUCUCGUGGAUUUAUCAGCGCAGGCAGAGUAGAAUGUGUGAUAAGUGAAUUGCAACCGAUAAUCCAGUUGAAGAAUUUGUUGAAGCAGAUGUCCACCGCAGUGUGUCCGCGUGCCGAGAGUGGAUGGUAAUCGCCUCCCUGUGAUUGAUUCCGUUAGUUGGAGGAACUUGAAGCGUCCCCACCAGAGGUCAGCACCAACAGCAGGUAGCCACAAGAAGAAACAUGGCGGCCUUUGUGGCGAAGCAGAUGGUGGGCAACAAGCUGAAUGCUGUGAAAGGUAGAUGU
Zootermopsis nevadensis is the source of this 590-nucleotide non-coding RNA. Lineage: Eukaryota; Metazoa; Arthropoda; Insecta; Blattodea; Termopsidae. The record is from RefSeq and is a predicted model, not a curated record.